UGACAACCCGAGAGAUCGGGCGUUCCCCUUCGGGGGGACAGGGUGACAGGUGGUGCAUGGUUGUCGUCAGCUCGUGUCGUGAGAUGUUGGGUUAAGUCCCGCAACGAGCGCAACCCUCGACCUUAGUUGCCAGCAUUCAGUUGGGCACUCUAAGGUGACUGCCGGCUAAAAGUCGGAGGAAGUGGGGAUGACGUCAAAUCAUCAUGCCCCUUAUGACCAGGGCUACACACGUACUACAAUGGCCGGUACAAAGGGCAGCGACACAGCGAUGUGAAGCGAAUCCCGAAAAGCCGGUCUCAGUCCGGAUUGGAGUCUGCAACUCGACUCCAUGAAGUUGGAAUCGCUAGUAAUCGCGGAUCAGCACGCCGCGGUGAAUACGUUCCCGGGCCUU
This 391-nucleotide ribosomal RNA is filed under the name uncultured Anoxybacillus sp. RNAcentral describes it as "bacterial SSU rRNA". It matches the Rfam family "Bacterial small subunit ribosomal RNA", at positions 992 to 1382 of the family's 1533-position model. The record is from RNAcentral. Lineage: Bacteria; Bacillati; Bacillota; Bacilli; Caryophanales; Anoxybacillaceae.